RNAcentral lists this ribosomal RNA (254 nucleotides) under uncultured bacterium. RNAcentral describes it as "partial 16S ribosomal RNA". It matches the Rfam family "Bacterial small subunit ribosomal RNA", at positions 524 to 776 of the family's 1533-position model. The record is from RNAcentral.
UACGGGGGAUGCAAGCGUUACCCGGAUUUAUUGGGUUUAAAGGGUGCGUAGGCUGUGAAGUAAGUCAGCGGUGAAAUGCCCCCGCUCAACGGGGUGAAGUGCCAUUGAUACUGCCUUGCUGGAAUGCGGAUGCCGUGGGAGGAAUGUGUGGUGUAGCGGUGAAAUGCAUAGAUAUCACACAGAACACCGAUUGCGAAGGUAUCUCACGAAUCCGCGAUUGACGCUGAUGCACGAAAGCGUGGGUAUCAAACAGG